AUUAUGACACCCUUAUUACCCACAAUGUGACUCAACUGCCAACAUGUUGGUCUGAGAUUUGGGUGUGUUAUGCUAGUAGCGUCUGAUGUAGCCUCAAGCUGCUUCCUCCACCAAUCUUUCUGAGCUCAGUGGAAACUCUGCAUAGAGGCCACUCCCCAUGUUCCAUGAUUCCACUCAUGACGCUUCCUCUGACCCCUGUGUGUCACAAGUUGGACCAGAAGUUUCGCACCUCAGAGUUAAAGCAUAUCAAAUCAAGUUUCCCUUUUUAAGCACAGCAGGUCUUCACCACAUAUGACUCUGGACAGACAUGGAUGUAAACUGCAACUUGACUGGUUGGCGGAGGCAUACAACCGCAAAGCGGUAAUUCUAGUUUAUAGUUCUGAUUUUUACUUACUUUUUCUUUUAACUAAACUAUAUGUGAUGUUGUUGUUGAUAAAAAAUUUCGGUGCAAUAUAAAUCUUGGUCACAACUCUUUAAUAACCAUAUUUAAGGGAUCCUUAAUAUUUUUUAUUGUGUUUAUGUUUAUAACAAGUGCAGGUGUGUGUAAUUUUUACGUGUGUAAUGUUAAUACAGUCAAUUAAUGUUUUUCACAUUUGAGGUUUUAUACACUUGGAAAGAAGUUUCAUUUUCCUUAGUCAAAACUACAAAGAAAGUGAUGCAUAACAAAUGUCUGUCUUCGAAACUGUAUCUUUACAUUGCUCCAACAUUGUUGAUGUUCUUUGUCAAACCACCUGAAAUUGAAGCUGUAAACUUUGAAUUCUUGCCUGAACUCUGACCCCCAUAAUGCCAAGCCAAUCAUCCCACCAAGACAAGCGAUUCAUCAGGAAGGCUGUAUUUUCUGUGAUUUGGUCAACCUCUGGUCAACAGUGUUUCAUGGUUGCACUGGAAGACUGAGCCAUCGUGUGCUCAAUAGCAUUGAUAACAACUUAGUGGCUAAAAGGGCUGAAAAUGUGUUGGAUAUUCAGUUCACUUAUCUCAAUUUAGCUGGGUUGAGGAAGAGAGAUUAUCUCAUUUUUAUUAUGUUUACAGGGAGAUGAUAGGGGAAAAACAGAGAAAGUUAAAAAAGAAUAAUUGACUGUGGCUCCAG
This is a long non-coding RNA of Perca fluviatilis (European perch), 1087 nucleotides long. RefSeq lists it as uncharacterized. NCBI's taxonomy places the organism in Eukaryota, Metazoa, Chordata, Actinopteri, Perciformes, Percidae. The transcript is spliced from 3 exons. The record is from RefSeq and is a predicted model, not a curated record.